AAGGAUGGACCCGCGGUGCAUUAGCUAGUUGGUAAGGUAACGGCUUACCAAGGCGACGAUGCAUAGCCGAGUUGAGAGACUGAUCGGCCACAUUGGGACUGAGACACGGCCCAAACUCCUACGGGAGGCAGCAGUAGGGAAUCUUCCACAAUGGGCGAAAGCCUGAUGGAGCAACGCCGCGUGAGUGAAGAAGGUUUUCGGAUCGUAAAGCUCUGUUGUUGGUGAAGAAGGAUAGAGGUAGUAACUGGCCCCUAUUUGACGGUAAUCAACCAGAAAGUCACGGCUAACUACGUGCCAGCAGCCGCGGUAAUACGUAGGUGGCAAGCGUUGUCCGGAUUUAUUGGGCGUAAAGCGAGCGCAGGCGGAAAGAUAAGUCUGAUGUGAAAGCCCCCGGCUUAACCGAGGAAUUGCAUCGGAAACUGUGUUUCUUGAGUGCAGAAGAGGAGAGUGGAACUCCAUGUGUAGCGGUGGAAUGCGUAGAUAUAUGGAAGAACACCAGUGGCGAAGGCGGCUCUCUGGUCUGUAACUGACGCUGAGGCUCGAAAGCAUGGGUAGCGAACAGGAUUAGAUACCCUGGUAGUCCAUGCCGUAAACGAUGAGUGCUAAGUGUUGGGAGGUUUCCGCCUCUCA
This 630-nucleotide ribosomal RNA is filed under the name uncultured bacterium. RNAcentral's name for it is "bacterial SSU rRNA". It matches the Rfam family "Bacterial small subunit ribosomal RNA", at positions 221 to 842 of the family's 1533-position model. The record is from RNAcentral.